This 266-nucleotide ribosomal RNA is filed under the name uncultured archaeon. RNAcentral describes it as "partial 16S ribosomal RNA". It matches the Rfam family "Archaeal small subunit ribosomal RNA", at positions 716 to 982 of the family's 1478-position model. The record is from RNAcentral.
AGUCACUGACAUUAGAUACCCGCGUAGUCCAGGGUGUAAACGCUGCAGACUUGGUGUUGGGAACCCUUCGGGGGUGCUCAGUGCCGGAGAGAAGUUGUUAAGUCUGCUACUUGGGGAGUACGUCCGCAAGGAUGAAACUUAAAGGAAUUGGCGGGGGAGCACCGCAACGGGAGGAGCGUGCGGUUUAAUUGGAUUCAACGACCGAAAAACUCACCAGCAGCGACUGUUACAUGAAAGUCAGGUUGAUGACCUUACUAGAUUUUCAG